GACGAACGCUGGCGGCGGUGCCUAAUACAUGCAAGUAGAACGCACAGGAUGCACCGUAGUUUACUACACCGUAUUCUGUGAGUUGCAAACGGGUGAGUAACGCGUAGGUAACCUGCCUGGUAGCGGGGGAUAACUAUUGGAAACGAUAGCUAAUACCGCAUAAGAACAUUUACUGCAUGGUAGAUGUUUAAAAGGUGCAAAUGCAUCACUACCAGAUGGACCUGCGUUGUAUUAGCUAGUAGGUGAGGUAACGGCUCACCUAGGCGACGAUACAUAGCCGACCUGAGAGGGUGAUCGGCCACACUGGGACUGAGACACGGCCCAGACUCCUACGGGAGGCAGCAGUAGGGAAUCUUCGGCAAGGGGGGGAACCCUGACCGAGCAACGCCGCGUGAGUGAAGAAGGUUUUCGGAUCGUAAAGCUCUGUUGUUAAGGAAGAACGAGUGUGAGAAUGGAAAGUUCAUACUGUGACGGUACUUAACCAGAAAGGGACGGCUAA
RNAcentral lists this ribosomal RNA (499 nucleotides) under Streptococcus intermedius. RNAcentral describes it as "bacterial SSU rRNA". It matches the Rfam family "Bacterial small subunit ribosomal RNA", at positions 28 to 500 of the family's 1533-position model. The record is from RNAcentral. Lineage: Bacteria; Bacillati; Bacillota; Bacilli; Lactobacillales; Streptococcaceae.